This 460-nucleotide ribosomal RNA is filed under the name uncultured bacterium. RNAcentral describes it as "partial 16S ribosomal RNA". It matches the Rfam family "Bacterial small subunit ribosomal RNA", at positions 338 to 795 of the family's 1533-position model. The record is from RNAcentral.
CCUACGGGUGGCAGCAGUGAGGAAUAUUGGUCAAUGGACGCCAGUCUGAACCAGCCAUGCCGCGUGCAGGAAGACGGCUCUAUGAGUUGUAAACUGCUUUUGUACGAGGGUAAACGCAGAUACGCGUAUCUGUCUGAAAGUAUCGUACGAAUAAGGAUCGGCUAACUCCGUGCCAGCAGCCGCGGUAAUACGGAGGAUUCAAGCGUUAUCCGGAUUUAUUGGGUUUAAAGGGUGCGUAGGCGGGCGGAUAAGUUAGAGGUGAAAUCCCGGGGCUCAACGUAGGGAUUGCAUUUGAUACUGGUCGGCUUGAGAGUAGGUGAGGUAGGCGGAAUGUAUGGUGUAGCGGUGAAAUGCUUAGAGAUCAGACAGAACACCGAUUGCGAAGGCAGCUUACCAAGCUACUUCUGACGUUGAGGCACGAAAGCGUGGGGAGCAAACAGGAUUAGAUACCCGAGUAGUC